Helicoverpa armigera (cotton bollworm) is the source of this 514-nucleotide long non-coding RNA. RefSeq lists it as uncharacterized. The transcript is spliced from 3 exons. Lineage: Eukaryota; Metazoa; Arthropoda; Insecta; Lepidoptera; Noctuidae. The record is from RefSeq and is a predicted model, not a curated record.
CAGAUUCGUGGUCCGCCUCAAUCGAUAAACUAAUGCUAUGGAGAGGGAGUUGGACAAAAUACGAUUCUAAAGUAUCGAACCCGCUCUUGCGUAUACACUACGAUCAACUUUUAGUUACAGCUGAAACAAAGAUAUUAGAAUCAUUUAACAUGCAUAAUAAAAUAAAAGGGAUUUAUAAAGAAGAUAUACUGAUCUUAAUUAUUAGCCAUUCUAGUAAAGAAAUAAGGAAAAUAAAGUUUCAAAUAAAAUAUGACGCGCCACAAUGCCUUCAGAGAUUAAGUAAACAUUUUCCUGUGAUACACUACAAUCAUCAGGUGAAUCACAAUAUCGAUGUUAAAUACCGAAACGUUGAUGAAGUCCUAAAAUUAGCAUUAGAAAAUAAGGAGAAAACAAAUACUUCCAAUUUGCCGUCAACGGCAACCUUGAGCAAUUUCGUAAAAUUGUGUUUGUUGGAUCCAACGUUCCCGCAAUUAGUUUUAGAAACAGAAAAAGUACUAAACGGUGAACUUUUCAA